CAGCACCUCAAGUGGUCAGGAUGAUUAUUGGGCCUAAAGCAUCCGUAGCCGGCGCUGUAAGUUUUCGGUUAAAUCUGUACGCUCAACGCACAGGCUGCCGGGAAUACUGCAGCGCUAGGGAGUGGGAGAGGUAGACGGUACUCGGUAGGAAGGGGUAAAAUCCUUUGAUCUAUUGAUGACCACCUGUGGCGAAGGCGGUCUACCAGAACACGUCCGACGGUGAGGGAUGAAAGCUGGGGGAGCAAAACGGAUUAGAUACCCGAGUAGUCC
This 270-nucleotide ribosomal RNA is filed under the name uncultured archaeon. RNAcentral describes it as "partial 16S ribosomal RNA". It matches the Rfam family "Archaeal small subunit ribosomal RNA", at positions 477 to 747 of the family's 1478-position model. The record is from RNAcentral.